GGANNNNNGNUUGUACCAGAAGUGGAUAGCUUAACCGCAAGGGGGGCGUUCACCACGGUAUGAUUCAUGACUGGGGUGAAGUCGUAACAAGGUAACCGUAGGGGAACCUGCGGUUGGAUCACCUCCUUA
Molecule: ribosomal RNA, 129 nt
Filed under: Muribacter muris
Lineage: Bacteria; Pseudomonadati; Pseudomonadota; Gammaproteobacteria; Pasteurellales; Pasteurellaceae
Description: partial 16S rRNA
Rfam family: Bacterial small subunit ribosomal RNA
Source: RNAcentral